CUACGCACUCCUACGGGAGGCAGCAUUGGGGAAUAUUGCACAAUGGGCGCAAGCCUGAUGCAGCCAUGCCGCGUGUAUGAAGAAGGCCUUCGGGUUGUAAAGUACUUUCAGCAGUGAGGAAGGUGGGUAUGUUAAUAGCAUACUCAUUUGACGUUAGCUGCAGAAGAAGCACCGGCUAACUCCGUGCCAGCAGCCGCGGUAAUACGGAGGGUGCGAGCGUUAAUCGGAAUUACUGGGCGUAAAGCGCAUGCAGGUGGUUUGUUAAGUCAGAUGUGAAAGCCCGGGGCUCAACCUCGGAAUUGCAUUUGAAACUGGCAAACUAGAGUACUGUAGAGGGGGUAGAAUUUCAGGUGUAGCGGUGAAAUGCGUAGAGAUCUGAAGGAAUACCGGUGGCGAAGGCGGCCCCCUGGACAGAUACUGACACUCAGAUGCGAAAGCGUGGGGAGCAAACAGGAUUAGAUACCCUGGUAG
Molecule: ribosomal RNA, 471 nt
Filed under: uncultured bacterium
Lineage: Bacteria
Description: bacterial SSU rRNA
Rfam family: Bacterial small subunit ribosomal RNA
Source: RNAcentral